RNAcentral lists this signal recognition particle RNA (99 nucleotides) under Alistipes sp. Its description in RNAcentral is "signal recognition particle sRNA small type". It matches the Rfam family "Bacteroidales small SRP". From Rfam's summary of the family: The non-coding component of the signal recognition particle in Bacteroides The record is from RNAcentral. Lineage: Bacteria; Pseudomonadati; Bacteroidota; Bacteroidia; Bacteroidales; Rikenellaceae.
GGGUAAGUCUUACACGACCAGCUCCCCACGAAUCCCCCAGGGCCGGAAGGCAGCAAGGGUAGUGGGUCGUAGCGGUGCGAUGUAACAAGCUUACCCCUU